AUGGCUCAGAUUGAACGCUAGCGGGAUGCCUUACACAUGCAAGUCGAACGGCAGCACGGACUUCGGUCUGGUGGCGAGUGGCGAACGGGUGAGUAAUGUAUCGGAACGUGCCUAGUAGCGGGGGAUAACUACGCGAAAGCGUAGCUAAUACCGCAUACGCCCUACGGGGGAAAGCAGGGGAUCGCAAGACCUUGCACUAUUAGAGCGGCCGAUAUCGGAUUAGCUAGUUGGUGGGGUAACGGCUCACCAAGGCGACGAUCCGUAGCUGGUUUGAGAGGACGACCAGCCACACUGGGACUGAGACACGGCCCAGACUCCUACGGGAGGCAGCAGUGGGGAAUUUUGGACAAUGGGGGAAACCCUGAUCCAGCCAUCCCGCGUGUGCGAUGAAGGCCUUCGGGUUGUAAAGCACUUUUGGCAGGAAAGAAACGUCAUGGGUUAAUACCCCGUGAAACUGACGGUACCUGCAGAAUAAGCACCGGCUAACUACGUGCCAGCAGCCGCGGUAAUACGUAGGGUGCAAGCGUUAAUCGGAAUUACUGGGCGUAAAGCGUGCGCAGGCGGUUCGGAAAGAAAGAUGUGAAAUCCCAGAGCUUAACUUUGGAACUGCAUUUUUAACUACCGAGCUAGAGUGUGUCAGAGGGAGGUGGAAUUCCGCGUGUAGCAGUGAAAUGCGUAGAUAUGCGGAGGAACACCGAUGGCGAAGGCAGCCUCCUGGGAUA
RNAcentral lists this ribosomal RNA (722 nucleotides) under Achromobacter sp. 110602_136_C_H9. Its description in RNAcentral is "bacterial SSU rRNA". It matches the Rfam family "Bacterial small subunit ribosomal RNA", at positions 19 to 736 of the family's 1533-position model. Lineage: Bacteria; Pseudomonadati; Pseudomonadota; Betaproteobacteria; Burkholderiales; Alcaligenaceae. The record is from RNAcentral.